This 631-nucleotide ribosomal RNA is filed under the name uncultured bacterium. RNAcentral's name for it is "bacterial SSU rRNA". It matches the Rfam family "Bacterial small subunit ribosomal RNA", at positions 628 to 1255 of the family's 1533-position model. The record is from RNAcentral.
GGAAACUGGGGGAACUUGAGUGCAGAAGAGGAUAGUGGAAUUCCAAGUGUAGCGGUGAAAUGCGUAGAGAUUUGGAGGAACACCAGUGGCGAAGGCGACUGUCUGGUCUGUAACUGACACUGAGGCGCGAAAGCGUGGGGAGCAAACAGGAUUAGAUACCCCUGGUAGUCCACGCCGUAAACGAUGAGUGCUAAGUGUUGGGGGGUUUCCGCCCCUCAGUGCUGCAGCUAACGCAUUAAGCACUCCGCCUGGGGAGUACGGUCGCAAGACUGAAACUCAAAGGAAUUGACGGGGGCCCGCACAAGCGGUGGAGCAUGUGGUUUAAUUCGAAGCAACGCGAAGAACCUUACCAGGUCUUGACAUCCCAUUGACCACUGUAGAGAUACAGUUUUCCCUUCGGGGACAACGGUGACAGGUGGUGCAUGGUUGUCGUCAGCUCGUGUCGUGAGAUGUUGGGUUAAGUCCCGCAACGAGCGCAACCCUUGUUCUUAGUUGCCAUCAUUUAGUUGGGCACUCUAAGGAGACUGCCGGUGAUAAACCGGAGGAAGGUGGGGAUGACGUCAAAUCAUCAUGCCCCUUAUGACCUGGGCUACACACGUGCUACAAUGGACGAUACAAACGGUUGCCAACC